RNAcentral lists this long non-coding RNA (700 nucleotides) under Cricetulus griseus (Chinese hamster). Its description in RNAcentral is "lncRNA (ENSCGRG00015033240.1)". The record is from RNAcentral. Lineage: Eukaryota; Metazoa; Chordata; Mammalia; Rodentia; Cricetidae.
CUGGAGAACUGGCUCAGAGCUUAAGAAUGGGUGCUGCUUGGGGCUGGAGAGAUGGCUCAGAGGUUAAGAUCGCUGACUGCUCUUCCAGAGGUCCUGAGUUCAAUUCCCAGCAACCACCUGGUGGCUCACAACCAUCCGUUAUGAGAUCUGGUGCCCUCUUCUGGUGUGCAGAUAUACAUGGAAGCAGAAUAUUGUAUACAUAAUAAAUAAAUAAAUACAUAAAUAAAUAAAUAAUCUUUAAAAAAUGUGUGGGUGCUACUCUUGCAGAGGACUGAGGCUGUGUGAGAGUACAGGUUAUGUGUAUUCCACAGUAUGCACGAGGAGCAGCACAGGGGCUAACCUCAAGUGUCUCUGUUAACCUGCUAUCUUGUUUGAACCCCAGUCUCUUGUUUGGAACUGCAUAGGCCAGCCUAAGCGACCUACAAGCUUCUGGAGAUUCUCCUGCCCCUCCUCCCAUCUCACUAUAGGAGCCCUGGCCUUACAAAUAUGCAUGCCACCAUGUCCAGCUUUACCUGGGUUCUGGGAUCUGAACUUAGGACUUCAAGUCCUUCAAGAAUGCUGGAUUUAGCCAUACCGUUAAAACUGUGUCCUCGGAGUCUCCAUCUGAGAAAUGAAGCUCGAGCUGCUGUCAUCUGAGAAGAGGGACUCUCCAUGGAAUAAAUUCUUCUGUCAGAUUGGCCUGUAGGCGAGCCUGUGGGGC